This 799-nucleotide ribosomal RNA is filed under the name uncultured bacterium. RNAcentral describes it as "bacterial SSU rRNA". It matches the Rfam family "Bacterial small subunit ribosomal RNA", at positions 8 to 796 of the family's 1533-position model. The record is from RNAcentral.
AGAGUUUGAUCCUGGCUCAGAUUGAACGUUGGCGGCAGGCCUAAAACAUGCAAGUCGAACGGUAACAGCGAGAGCUUGCUCUCGGCUGACGAGUGGCGGACGGGUGAGUAAUACGUAGGAAUCUACCUAGUAGUGGGGGACAACCCGGGGGAAACCCGGGCUAAUACCGCAUACGCUCUACGGAGGAAAGCGGGGGAUCUUCGGACCUCGCGCUGUUAGAGGAGCCUGCGUCGGAUUAGCUAGUUGGUGGGGUAAAGGCCUACCAAGGCGACGAUCCGUAGCUGGUCUGAGAGGACGAUCAGCCACACUGGAACUGAGACACGGUCCAGACUCCUACGGGAGGCAGCAGUUAGGAAUCUUGGGCAAUGGGCGAAAGCCUGACCCAGCCAUGCCGCGUGUGUGAAGAAGGCCUUCGGGUUGUAAAGCACUUUCAGCGGUGAAGAAAAGCUCGGGGCUAAUACCCCUCGAGUCUUGACGUUAACCACAGAAGAAGCACCGGCUAACUCCGUGCCAGCAGCCGCGGUAAUACGGAGGGUGCGAACGUUAAUCGGAAUCACUGGGCGUAAAGCGCGCGUAGGCGGUCUGUUAAGUGGGAUGUGAAAUCCCCGGGCUUAACCUGGGAAUUGCAUUCCAAACUGGCCGACUAGAGUACGGUAGAGGGAGGUAGAAUUUCCUGUGUAGCGGUGAAAUGCGUAGAUAUAGGAAGGAAUACCAGUGGCGAAGGCGGCCUCCUGGAUCGAUACUGACGCUGAGGCGCGAAAGCGUGGGGAGCAAACAGGAUUAGAUACCCUAGUAGUCC